UUGGAGGGCAAGUCUGGUGCCAGCAGCCGCGGUAAUUCCAGCUCCAAUAGCGUAUAUUAAAGUUGUUGCAGUUAAAAAGCUCGUAGUUGAAUUUCGGGAUCAAUAUGCCGGUCAUGCCUUGGUAUGCACUGGUAUCUUUGGUUUCUCCCUUCUGACGAACUUUGAUGUCAUUAAUUUGGUGUCAUAGGGAAUCAGGACUGUUACUUUGAAAAAAUUAGAGUGUUUAAAGCAAGCUCACGCUUGAAUACAUUAGCAUGGAAUAAUGAAAUAGGACGUUUGAUUCUAUUUUGUUGGUUUCUAGGAUCGACGUAAUGAUUAAUAGGGAUAGUUGGGGGCAUUAGUAUUCAAUUGUCAGAGGUGAAAUUCUUGGAUUUAUUGAAGACUAACUACUGCGAAAGCAUUUGCCAAGGAUGUUUUCAUUAAUCAAGAACGAAAGUUAGGGGAUCGAAGACGAUCAGAUACCGUCGUAGUCUUAACCAUAAACUAUGCCGACUAGGGAUCGGAUGAUGUUAAUUUUUUAAUGACUCAUUCGGCGCCUUACGGGAAAC
This 548-nucleotide ribosomal RNA is filed under the name uncultured Glomus. Its description in RNAcentral is "SSU rRNA". It matches the Rfam family "Eukaryotic small subunit ribosomal RNA", at positions 548 to 1098 of the family's 1831-position model. Lineage: Eukaryota; Fungi; Glomeromycota; Glomeromycetes; Glomerales; Glomeraceae. The record is from RNAcentral.